Molecule: ribosomal RNA, 925 nt
Filed under: metagenome
Description: bacterial SSU rRNA
Rfam family: Bacterial small subunit ribosomal RNA
Source: RNAcentral
AGAGUUUGAUCAUGGCUCAGAAUGAACGCUGGCGGCACGCUUAACACAUGCAAGUCGAACGAGAUCUUCGGAUCUAGUGGCAGACGGGUGAGUAACGCGUGGGAACCUGCCCAGUAGUAGAGAAUAACUUGGGGAAACUUAAGCUAAUACUUUAUACGUCCUUCGGGAGAAAGCUUUAUGCGCUAUUGGAUGGGCCCGCGUUAGAUUAGUUUGUUGGUGAGGUAACGGCUCACCAAGGCGACGAUCUAUAGCUGGUCUGAGAGGAUGAUCAGCCACACUGGGACUGAGACACGGCCCAGACUCCUACGGGAGGCAGCAGUGGGGAAUAUUGGACAAUGGGGGCAACCCUGAUCCAGCGAUGCCGCGUGAGUGAUGAAGGCCCUAGGGUUGUAAAACUCUUUCGUCAGGGAAGAUAAUGACGGUACCUGAAGAAGAAGAUCCGGCUAACUCCGUGCCAGCAGCCGCGGUAAUACGGAGGGGUCUAGCGUUAUUCGGAAUUACUGGGCGUAAAGCGAGCGUAGGCGGAUUUGUAAGUUGGAGGUGAAAUCCCAGAGCUUAACUCUGGAACUGCCUUCAAAACUACAUUUCUUGAGUUUGGUAGAGGAGAGUGGAAUUCCUAGUGUAGAGGUGAAAUUCGUAGAUAUUAGGAGGAACACCAGUGGCGAAGGCGACUCUCUGGGCCAAUACUGACGCUGAGGUUCGAAAGCAUGGGUAGCGAACAGGAUUAGAUACCCUGGUAGUCCAUGCAGUAAACGAUGAGUGCUAGAUGUUGGGAAUUUAAAUUUCCAGUAUCGCAGUUAACGCGUUAAGCACUCCGCCUGGGAAGUACGGCCGCAAGGCUAAAACUCAAAUGAAUUGACGGGGACCCGCACAAGCGGUGGAUCAUGUGGUUUAAUACGAAGAUACGCGAAGAACCUUACCGGCC